RNAcentral lists this ribosomal RNA (873 nucleotides) under uncultured bacterium. RNAcentral's name for it is "bacterial SSU rRNA". It matches the Rfam family "Bacterial small subunit ribosomal RNA", at positions 61 to 921 of the family's 1533-position model. The record is from RNAcentral.
GUCGAGGGGCAGCGGUGGUGAAGGCUUGCCUUUACCAGCCGGCGACCGGCGCACGGGUGAGUAACACGUAUGCAACCUGCCUGCCACAGCCGGAUAAUCGGGAGAAAUUCCGUCUAAUACGGCAUAAUGCACCUAUGGGACAUCCUGUUGGUGCCAAAGGUUAAUUCCGGUGGCGGAUGGGCAUGCGUCGCAUUAGUUAGUUGGCGGUGUAACGGACCACCAAGACGACGAUGCGUAGGGGUUCUGAGAGGAAGGUCCCCCACACUGGUACUGAGACACGGACCAGACUCCUACGGGAGGCAGCAGUGAGGAAUAUUGGUCAAUGGGCGGGAGCCUGAACCAGCCAAGUCGCGUGAGGGAUGACGGCCCUAUGGGUUGUAAACCUCUUUUGCCGGGGAGCAAAGUGCCGCACGUGUGCGGUUUGGAGAGUACCCGGAGAAAAAGCAUCGGCUAACUCCGUGCCAGCAGCCGCGGUAAUACGGAGGAUGCGAGCGUUAUCCGGAUUUAUUGGGUUUAAAGGGUGCGUAGGCUGUGAGGUAAGUCAGCGGUGAAAUGCCCCCGCUCAACGGGGUGAAGUGCCAUUGAUACUGCCUUGCUGGAAUGCGGAUGCCGUGGGAGGAAUGUGUGGUGUAGCGGUGAAAUGCAUAGAUAUCACACAGAACACCGAUUGCGAAGGCAUCUCACGAAUCCGCGAUUGACGCUGAUGCACGAAAGCGUGGGUAUCAAACAGGAUUAGAUACCCUGGUAGUCCACGCUGUAAACGAUGAUGACUAACCGUCGGCGAUACACAGUCGGUGGCCAAGCGAAAGCGAUAAGUCAUCCACCUGGGGAGUACGGCCGCAAGGCUGAAACUCAAAGGAAUUGACGGGGGCC